Melampsora americana is the source of this 113-nucleotide non-coding RNA. NCBI's taxonomy places the organism in Eukaryota, Fungi, Basidiomycota, Pucciniomycetes, Pucciniales, Melampsoraceae. The record is from the annotation of a GenBank genome assembly.
GCCUUCGUGGCUCAGCUGGUUAGAGCGCCGGUCUCAUACAUGACUCAUGUGUCCAUAUGACCGCAUACAAGCGGGCCAUCCGGAGAUCGCCAGUUCGAUCCUGGCCGAGGGCA